GAUGAAGAACGUAGCGAAAUGCGAUAAGUAAUGUGAAUUGCAGAAUUCAGUGAAUCAUCGAAUCUUUGAACGCACAUUGCGCCCGCCAGUAUUCUGGCGGGCAUGCCUGUUCGAGCGUCAUUUCAACCAUCAAGCCCUGCUUGCGUUGGGGUCCUGCGGCUGCCCGCAGGCCCUGAAAACCAGUGGCGGGCUCGCUAGUCACACCGAGCGCAGUAAUACAUCUCGCUUUGGGCGUGCGGCGGGUUCUUGCCGUUAAACACCCCCUUUUACCAAGGUUGACCUCGGAUCAGGUAGGAAUACCCGCUGAACUUAAGCAUAUCAAUAAGCGGAGGA
This 333-nucleotide unclassified non-coding RNA is filed under the name soil metagenome. RNAcentral describes it as "partial contains 5.8S ribosomal RNA, internal transcribed spacer 2, and large subunit ribosomal RNA". The stretch from base 1 to 120 matches the Rfam family "5.8S ribosomal RNA", at positions 35 to 154 of the family's 154-position model. The record is from RNAcentral.